Molecule: ribosomal RNA, 447 nt
Filed under: uncultured bacterium
Lineage: Bacteria
Description: partial 16S ribosomal RNA
Rfam family: Bacterial small subunit ribosomal RNA
Source: RNAcentral
AACGAACGCUGGCGGCAGGCUCAACACAUGCAAGUCGAACGCCCCGCAAGGGGAGUGGCAGACGGGUGAGUAACGCGUGGGAACGUACCUUUCAGUUCGGAAUAACUCAGGGAAACUUGUGCUAAUACCGGAUACGCUCGUAAGAGGAAAGAUUUAUCGCUGAAAGAUCGGCCCGCGUUGGAUUAGCUAGUUGGUGGGGUAAUGGCCUACCAAGGCGACGAUCCAUAGCUGGUCUGAGAGGAUGAUCAGCCACACUGGGACUGAGACACGGCCCAGACUCCUACGGGAGGCAGCAGUGGGGAAUAUUGGACAAUGGGCGAAAGCCUGAUCCAGCCAUGCCGCGUGAGUGAUGAAGGCCCUAGGGUUGUAAAGCUCUUUCACCGAUGAAGAUAAUGACGGUAGUCGGAGAAGAAGGGGUUGCUAACUCUGUGCCAGCCGCCGCCGUAA